This 253-nucleotide ribosomal RNA is filed under the name uncultured bacterium. Its description in RNAcentral is "partial 16S ribosomal RNA". It matches the Rfam family "Bacterial small subunit ribosomal RNA", at positions 524 to 776 of the family's 1533-position model. The record is from RNAcentral.
UACGAAGGUCCCGAGCGUUAUCCGGAUUUAUUGGGUUUAAAGGGUGCGUAGGCGGGUUAUUAAGUCAGUGGUGAAAGCCUUCAGCUCAACUGAAGAACUGCCAUUGAUACUGAUGAUCUUGAGUACGAUUGAGGUAGGCGGAAUGUGUCAUGUAGCGGUGAAAUGCUUAGAUAUGACACAGAACACCGAUUGCGAAGGCAGCUUACUAAGUCGUAACUGACGCUGAUGCACGAAAGCGUGGGGAGCAAACAGG